RNAcentral lists this ribosomal RNA (499 nucleotides) under uncultured bacterium. RNAcentral's name for it is "partial 16S ribosomal RNA". It matches the Rfam family "Bacterial small subunit ribosomal RNA", at positions 28 to 507 of the family's 1533-position model. The record is from RNAcentral.
GACGAACGCUGGCGGCGUGCCUAAUACAUGCAAGUCGAGCGAAGUUUUUCUGGUGCUUGCACUAGAAAAACUUAGCGGCGAACGGGUGAGUAACACGUAAAGAACCUGCCUCAUAGACUGGGACAACUAUUGGAAACGAUAGCUAAUACCGGAUAACAGUAUUUCUCGCAUGGGAGAUAUUUAAAAGUUGGUUAUGCUAACACUAUGAGAUGGCUUUGCGGUGCAUUAGCUAGUUGGUGGGGUAAAGGCCCACCAAGGCGACGAUGCAUAGCCGACCUGAGAGGGUGAUCGGCCACACUGGGACUGAGACACGACCCAGACUCCUACGGGAGGCAGCAGUAGGGAAUCUUCCGCAAUGGGCGAAAGCCUGACGGAGCAACGCCGCGUGAGUGAAGAAGGAUUUCGGUUCGUAAAGCUCUGUUGUUAGGGAAGAAUGGAUAUGUAGUAACUAUACAUGUAAGAGACGGUACCUAACCAGAAAGCCACGGCUAACUACGUG